GCGGGGAAACUGGGGAAGAUGGGGUGCAGGAGGAGAGGUUGGAGGGGCCAAGGAGCACCUUGGCCGUCUGGGGUCUGGCAGGAGUGGUGAGGGCGGAGGGGCCGGCUCAGGCAGGCUGGCUGCUGGGAGCGCACUCCCAGGGUCAUGGGCAACAUCGGUGUGAGGGCCUGAGCCAGGCUUGGAGAGGAGAGGGAGCCAGACAUUCAUCCCGGUCACUUUUGGUUACAGGACGUGGCGGCUGGUCGGACCAGGGGAGCUGCUGGGCAGGGUUUGGCCUCAGGGCUGGGCAGUGGAGGUGUAGCUGGCAGCAGUGGGCAGGUGAGGACCCCGCGCUGCUGGGCAGGUGAGUCCCCUUCCCCUCCCCGGGCCUCGCCUCCCCGGCCUUCUGGAAGAAGGAGGUUUUGGGGAGCAAGGGCCGGGGAGGCGAGCGACUAUCCUCCCGGCGGCAGCGUGGCAGGACGAAGGCAGGACAGUUAGCAAAGGAGACAUCUUCUCGGGGGGAGCCGAGACGGGGAAGGCUGGGGGGCGCAGGCCCACCAGGUAGAAAGAGCACUUGGAGAGGCAGAGGCUGCCAGCACGUGGGUUGCACGCCAGCCCUGGGCCAGACAGGGACGAGGCGGGGACACAAGAUGCAGGGGAGUCCCCAGCCGCCACCACAUCCCACCCACCGCAAUUCAUUUAGUAGCAGGCAUAGGAGUGGCUCCGGCAGAGCCUUCUGAGGCCUGUGCCGGAGCGCGAGGGCUGGAGAGCGGGAAAGAAGGGCAGUGCCCAGGUACACGGCGGGACGUCACCAGGAGGGAGCAGUGGCCACGGGUGGUGGGCUGCAGAGAUACCGCAGCAAGGAGGCUGCACAGGCCCGGCCUGCAGGCACACUGUUCCCAAGAGGCACUGCAGCCCAGGGGCUGGCGCGGAGAGGGCCCACAGUGGACUUGGCGACACUGUAUGCCCUCACCGCUCAGCCCCCGGGACUGGCACGGCAGACAGUACAGCACCCAGGGGAGUCAAGGGCACGGGGCGAGGCCAGACCAGGCGAGCGGGCGGGGCGGAGUGAGUGAGUUUCAGGAGGGAGGCUGGGCGCAGGCAGGGUGCAAAGAGGCAGCCAGGCGCAAGCCGAGGGGCGCUGGCCUCCAGAGCCCGUGGCCAUGGCGGGCCUCGCGGGCGGCGACGGAGCAGUGAUCGGCGCCCCAGUGCUUGGGCUGGAGACAAGGCCAGGUCUCCGGCAGGGGUGGACAUUCGCCAGCCGCUGAAGGCCAGGACGGCAGGCCCGGCAGACGUGCUGAGGGACGUGACAUGGUCCGGUGUGACGGUGAGGACAGACAGGAUGCCGUCCGGCCUUCCCGGACAUCCUCGGCUGGCACCGCGGGGAAGCUGCGACACAGGCGGGUCUCUGCUCCUUCACUUUCCCAAAGGAGUCUUCACACUGCUGCUCUCUGGACCCCAGAACCCUCGAGAUGCAAGAAAUGGUGCUACCCAGCUCAUGCCUGGGACUUCCAAUCCGGGACUUCUGCAAGUCGGUCUAGCUCUGAACCGAGAUAUGCUGCACUCUGGAACCACUACACCACCCGACUCAGGAAUCGGCUCCGGAAGGUUAAGCCGAAGGAGCAGGAACCUGCUGACCCAACACCGCAGACACCAUCGGAAGAGCAGCACCCGCACCACCCCCCGCCUUGGCGACUCCAUCUUCCCGGCCACCCCCUGCAGCGCGUGGGGACCACCGCCCGCCAAGCCAUCCUGGGGCGGGACGGCCCCACCACCGCCUCCCUCCUCUGUCCUUCUUCCUCCUUUCCUCGUCUUUUCCUUUCUGUCUUUCCUGUCUUUCCUUUGCUUGAGAGAUUCGACGCACCUGCGGCUCCGUCCCCCGUCCCUCCUGAGUUCAAUUUGCACUAAGUCACUUGCACUGGUUUGGAGCCGGAGGCAGCCCGAGUCUCUCCGCGCGAGUGUGUGUGUGCGCGCGGCCUCCUUGGCCAGCGCCGCGCCGGCGCCUGCCUGCCUGUCCACCUCUGUCUGGGGGCGCCCGGGCGCGGCCGUGUGACCGAGGCCUCGCCCCCCCUCGCCUGGUCUGGAAGCUCCCCAACAACGGAGCACUCGAAGCUUCCACACACCCCCCUCGCCCGUGCCCCUCCCCACCGGGGCCUCAGCAGAAGCCCCGGCCUCAUCAAUAAACACAGUUACAGUCA
RNA transcript from Lemur catta (Ring-tailed lemur), 2177 nucleotides. RefSeq lists it as uncharacterized. The transcript is spliced from 5 exons. NCBI's taxonomy places the organism in Eukaryota, Metazoa, Chordata, Mammalia, Primates, Lemuridae. The record is from RefSeq and is a predicted model, not a curated record.